UAUACUCUAAUUAGUAUAUAAUUAUCUAAUACAAAUGUCGAUUUAGCUAACAAUGUUAUUGUCUUUAAAGGUUUCCCCUAAGUGGUUGAUGUGGUUGAUGGCACUCAUAUCCGAAUUCAAGCACCUAACGCAAACGAACAAAAAGGGGUUUCACUCUCUUAAUUUACAGAUGAUAUGUGAUGCCACCCUUCGGUUUCUUGACGUAGUCGCCAAGUGGCCUGAGAGCGUACACGAUUCUAGGAUGUUUCGUGAAAGCGCCCUACGUUAGCGCUUUGAAAGAGGUGAAAUUGACGGUCUUAUGCUUGGUGACUCGGGCUAUGGAUGCAAGAGGUAUCUUAUGACACCAUAUCAAAACACCGACAGUCCUUGUAAGUCUGAAAAAAAUCCCGAAAGGGAGGAACGAUGUAAAAACCGUACAUGAACGGCAAAGUUGCAACAACUGAUGUCAGAACCGUUACUGAACAGUGUAAAGGUGCAACAACCGAUGUCAGAACCAUUACUGAACAGUGUAAAGUUGCAACAACUGAUGUCAGAACCGUUACUGAACACUGUAAAGGUGCAACAACCGAUGUCAGAACCGUUACUGAACAGUGUUAAGGUGCAACAACCGAUGUCAGAACUGUACCAGAACGGGGCACCAUCGUACGCAUCGUAGCCGUUCAACGUAAUCGUUAUAAGUAGCAGUAAUUUGUAUUGCCCGGGACCGUCACCUAACGAGCCCACAUACUUGCAUGUAAAUGAAAUUACAGACGUGUAUUACAAAUAUGUUAUACGAGAAAGUCACUUCUACUACACAUGCGUUUUAAAAUCUACGCACGCUACAUAGAACAAUAAUGUCAAUAAUUGUAAAUAUGAUAUCAAAACUUAUUAAAUCAUUCUAGUAAAUAAUCACUACUUUUAUUUACAAACGACCAGUUACGAACCAAACGAUGAAGUUUUUUAAGAUGUGCGAGUUAAUGAAUGUUUAAUAUAAAUGAAUAAUAUCGCUGUAGGAAAACGGGGUUCAAUGCAAGUGUGUAAAGUGUCGUCCCAGAUUAGGACGACACUUUCCGCCCUUAUCUGGUUUUUCGCUAAGGAGACAAUUCCUUUACACGAAAAAGACCAUACAAGCGGAAAGUGACGUCUUUGAUUAACCUGUGCGAACUUCACAGGUUAUAAAUGACGACACUAUAAGAAAAUGUAUUAAACCCUUAUUGUCCCAAAAGCGAGGCUCAAUUAUACAUGUAUGUAGAUGGAUGAGGGCUAAUAGUCCAAAAAAUGAUUCUAUUUACAAAGCAGUUGAGAUCUUGGGGGCGUUACCGAUAAUUUCUUAAAUAGUAUGGAACACAUAAAUAAGGCAAAUAACAUCCAUGUUAACAUCACGGGUGUAUUUUAAUCACAAAUAUUUUGGCAUUUAAUUCAACGUGGUAUGGGUAUGGGUAAGGCACAACGUAUGAUGCAUCUUCAGCCAUAACAUUACAUUAUAGGUGUAACAUUCUUAGGAAAAUAAUGAUAAAAUGUAUCUGGAUAAAAAAAAAUAAAAUCGAAUAUUUUCUGGUUAAAAAUGUGAUUUAACUGUUGAUGCGGAUAUGACGGGCGGACAACUAUUAUUUAAAUUCCAGUGAUCGAAAAAUAGUUGCCUCUCUUAAAUAACCAUAUUAUUGAUAAAUAAAUAAAAUAACGUGUUUUACGGAAAAGAAUAUAUCUUCCGAACGAAAAUGGAGUUGUUCUUCUGAAGUAUAUAUAUUAGUUCAAAAGCCAUGCAAUACCUUCCAUGAUAGAACGCGCUUUGAGAAACUUUGAGCCUCGUUUUGGGAACACUCGGCCGGCCGCACAGGCUACUCAGGGUCGACACUUACCGCUUGUGUGGUAAUUCGUUCAUAGGAAGGUGUCGCAGCUGAUUAGCCUGUACGGAAUAGCACUAAUCUGGGACGACACUAUCCACACUCAGUAAACCCAUUUUUUCAAAACGCGGCUCAAAGGACAUAAACUGUUGCCAAGUUUAAAGUAAAAGCACGUGUGAACAAGCAUCUUGUAGAGUGCUUUAACACGCCUCUCGCUCAACCAUUUCGCGCAAGUUGAAAAAAGACACGCUUUUAACAUUUAUAUAUUCACACACUGUUUAUGUUUUAUUAAUGAAUGAAACUUACAAAAUCUGCUAUUUUUUCAUCUUCCUAAAGAAAUUGUUAUUAUUUACAUUCUGGAUUUUCAUGAGCACUGCCAUUGGUUUCAAUAACGUCAAACAUAUGCAUAUAGGCAUGUAUUUAGUCAUUAAUUGAAAAUUGAAAUAUAAUAUAAUAUAAACAAUCUAACACCUCAAUUAUAAGUCAUCGACACAUUCUUUAGUACUAUUUGUGUAUAUUUAUAAAUGGUAUGUAAUCUUCAAAAAAUUACGAGUAAGCAGGGUAAUGUGGUUUGAAGACUUAACAUCGAUAAUUGCAUAAAACAAACAUAUACAGCAGCCGUAUAAUGCAAUACAUAACUUUAAUUCUCAAAUGUGUGUUGGUAUUUUUUAUAUUUUAUUUUCACGUCGUACGUGUAAGAAGUUUUUUUAAGUGAAUAUUUCCGAAUGUUUAUGAAUUAUUAAUUACUCUAAGUUUUCGGACACUCUUAGAUUUCGGACACCCUAUUUUUAGAAUCAAUUUUAUUUUGUUCGUGACUCUCAAUUUUGGGACAUACAGGAUUUCGUCCAUAAUUAAUGUCUCUUAAUUUUCGGAGGGUAUGUUUUCAGAGGGGGUAAUCACGUGAUGAUCUAAAGGAAGUCAAGAUGACGACGUCCUUGCCGAAACAGGAAAACGUGUGGUCAAUCAAAUUGCUUCCACAAGAAUCAUAUGUGCAUGGGAUACGAUGGUAAAGAAGAAUGGUCAUGUUCAAAAGUAUAAGUUCCGACAUUAAGACCAAGCCAGGCAGGAUUCAUCAUCCACUGCAAGGACGCCUGGAGAACGAUUACGGCAAAGUUCUCCGAUGGAGGCAAAAACACUAUCGUUAAUCAUCAUAAACACUUAUCUAUCAAAUCUACUUCAAAAUGAUAUUCAAAUCUGAAAGAACUUUGUUUUCACAUAGCAAGAAAGAGAUACAAUAUUACACGACAAAAUAAAAGUAACAGGUAAUGCAUGCGGUAACGGGUUUGAAGACUUAUUCACAGAAUGCCAUCAAAUACUCAAAAUAUCGACAGAUUAUCCAGAAACGAAGGCGAUGUUGGAACCUUCAGAAACACAGCUUCUAUGUGUUACAGAAGACCGCAUGUCAAAUGAAGUAUAACCAAAGCCGAGUCUCAGUUAUUUCUCUAGAGCCACUGAGGGACAAUGGUUGCUCAUGGUUAGGAUGAGAGAGAGACACCAAUUGUGGCUACUGAACACUGCUUGAUGUAUAACAAGGCAUCAAAUUCCAUUCAGAAGGAAUCUCCAAAACAAUCUCAGUCGUAUUAUUUUAGAACCAGCAUUUUGAAAAUGUCACAAAGAGAUUUCUAUACUAAUUUGUUUAUAAUGAUAAUGCCAACAAACAUUGGUUAGUAGCUAACAUCAAUUGCAUUGAGAUAAUACAGUGAGCUUAUUGUAAUUUAUACACAUCAUCUUGCUACACAUUUUUCAAAGUAUAGUUUAUUAGCAUAUCCUUAACUGCUGGACAAAGUUAUGCUCUGGAAAGAAAUUAUGACAUAAAAUUUUAUACUAGACCUUUGACCUUCAGAUGUCACCAUGACCUUGGACUUUGGGAUCUGGUUUUGUUUGCACAACUCCUUCUCAUCAGGCCUUAACAUUUAGGCCUUCAUUUAAUUUGAAACCCAAUUUUUUUCCAGAGCAUAUUUGAGUCGUGUUCUGAGAAAGCUGGGCAUAAUGCAUGUGCAUAAAGUGUCAACCCAGAUUAGCCUGUGCAGUUUGCACAGGCUAAUCAGGGACAACACUUUCCGUUUUAUGGUAUUUUUAGUUUCAUGGAAGUCUUUACCGAAAAUCAAGUUUAGGUGGAAAGUGUCGUCCCUGAUUUGCCUGUGCGGACUGCACAGGCUAAUCUGGAAUGACACUUUACGCACAUGCAUUAAGCCCAGUUUUCUCAGAACAAGGCAUAUUUCAUCUCCAAAAAUCAUAAUGCAUCCACACCAUUGUCAACUGAUCAACAAUAGCCACUGCUUUCAACAAAAGCCACUGCUUUCAACAAUAGCCACUGCUUUCAACAAUAGCCACUGCUUUCAACAAUAGCCACUGCUUUCAACAAUAGCCACUGCUUUCAACAAUAGCCACUGCUUUCAACAAUAGCCACUGCUUUCAACAACAGCCACUGCUUUCAACAAUAGCCACUGCUUUCAACAACAGCCACUGCUUUCAACAACAGCCACUGCUUUCAACAGUAGCCACUGCUUUCAACAGUUGCCACUGCUCUCAACAGUUGCCACUGCUUUCAACAAUAACCACUGCUUUCAACAAUAGCCACUGCUUUCAACAACAGCCACUGCUUUCAACAACAGCCACUGCUUUCAACAACAGCCACUGCUUUGAACAACAGCCACUGCUUUGAACAAUAGCCACUGCUAACAAUAGCCACUGCUUUCAAAAAUAGCCACUGCUUUUAAUAACAGCCACUUCUUUCAACAAUAGCUACUGCUUUCAACAAUAGCCACUGCUUUCAACAAUAGCCACUGCUUUCAACAAUAGCCACUGCUUCCAACAAUAGCCACUGCUUUCAACAAUAGCCACUGCUUUCAAAAAUAGCCACUGCUUUCAAAAACAGCCACUGCUUUCAACAAUAGCCACUGCUUUCAACAAUAGCCACUGCUUUCAACAAUAGCCACUGCUUUCAACAAUAGCCACUGCUUUUAACAACAGCCACUGCUUUCAACAACAGCCACUGCUUUCAACAAUAACCAAUGCUUUCAACAAAAGCCACUGCUUUCAACAACAGCAACUGCUUUCAACAAUAGCCACUGCUUUCAACAAUAGCCACUGCUUUCAACAAAAGCCACUGUUUUCAACAAUAGCCACUGCUUUCAACAAUAGCCACUGCUUUCAACAACAGCCACUGUUUUCAAAAAUAGCCACUGCUUUCAACAAUAGCCACUGCUUUCAACAAAAGCCACUGCUUUCAACAAUUGCCACUGCUUUCAACAAAAGCCACUGCUUUCAACAAUAGCCACUGCUUUCAACAAUAGCCACUGCUUUCAAAAACAGCAACUGCUUUCAACAACAGCCACUGCUUUCAACAACAGCCACUGCUUUCAACAAUAGCCACUGCUUUCAACUAUAGCCACUGCUUUUAACAACAGCCACUGUUUUCAACAAUAGCCACUGCUUUCAACAAUAGCCACUGCUUUCAACAAUAACCACUGCUUUCAACAACAGCCACUGCUUUCAACAAUAGCCACUGCUUUCAACAAUAGCCACUGCUUACAACAACAGCCACUGCUUUCAACAACAGCCACUGCUUUCAACAAUAGCCAAAGCUUUCAACAAUAGCAACUGCUUUCAACAAUAGCCACUGUUUUCAACAACAGCCACUGCUUUAUCUGGCAAGACCUUAGUCAGAACUGUAAUUGGAUAUGGAUGAAUAAUGUCACUCUGUGGUCAAUUUACAGAAAAAAAAUCAUAAACAAGAGAUUGCCAAGCAAUAUAUGUCCCCUACCGGUUCCAACAUUGUCAGAAUAUUUUGUGUUUGUUGCUGCCAUAGCAACCAGAAUUCUUGACAAAACGAAAAGACGUGCAUAAUCUCCAUAUUGCCAUCUGACCAUGUUUCAAGUUUCAUGAAAAAAAUAUGACAAACUUUUAAAGUUAUCGCAGGAUCCAGAAAAGUGUGACAGACAGACAGACUCACACACUCACAGACGCACAGAGCGCAAACCAUAAGUCCCCUCUGGUGAAACCGGAAGGGGACAACAAGCACUAUUUCAAUAUUUUAUAUACAUCAGCAUUAUAUUUUAUUUGCAUUCUAUCAGUGAUUUCUUCAAGAUUCUCUUAGUGUUUCUCGAGAUAUCAAUAAAACAAAAUGUUUUGACCAACU
This is a long non-coding RNA of Dreissena polymorpha, 5964 nucleotides long. RefSeq lists it as uncharacterized. Lineage: Eukaryota; Metazoa; Mollusca; Bivalvia; Myida; Dreissenidae. The transcript has 7 exons. The record is from RefSeq and is a predicted model, not a curated record.